This 712-nucleotide ribosomal RNA is filed under the name uncultured Acidobacteriota bacterium. RNAcentral describes it as "bacterial SSU rRNA". It matches the Rfam family "Bacterial small subunit ribosomal RNA", at positions 32 to 773 of the family's 1533-position model. The record is from RNAcentral. Lineage: Bacteria; Pseudomonadati; Acidobacteriota.
AACGCUGGCGGCGUGCCUGACGCAUGCAAGUCGAACGGGCGGACGGCUUUGGUCGUUCGUCAGUGGCAAACGGGUGAGUAACACGUAGGUGACCUGCCCUGGGGUGGGGGAUAACCCUUCGAAAGGGGGGCUAAUACCGCAUGAGCUCGGAGACGAGGAAAGCCGAGAGGCGCCCGAGGAGGGGCCUGCGGCCCAUCAGCUAGUUGGUGAGGUAAGGGCUCACCAAGGCGAAGACGGGUAGCUGGUCUGAGAGGACGGACAGCCACACUGGGACUGAGACACGGCCCAGACUCCUACGGGAGGCAGCAGCGAGGAAUUUUGCGCAAUGGGGGAAACCCUGACGCAGCAACGCCGCGUGGGUGAAGAAGGCCUUCGGGUUGUAAAGCCCUUUUCUGGGGGAAGAAGCUCUGACGGUACCCCAGGAAGAAGCCCCGGCUAACUACGUGCCAGCAGCCGCGGUAAGACGUAGGGGGCGAGCGUUGUCCGGAUUUACUGGGCGUAAAGCGCGCGUAGGCGGUGAUUCGCAUCGGUGGUGAAAGCCCCCGGCUCAACCGGGGGAGGUCCGCCGAGAUGGGAUCGCUGGAGGGCAGCAGAGGAAGGUGGAAUUCCCGGUGUAGUGGUGAAAUGCGUAGAGAUCGGGAGGAACACCAGAGGCGAAGGCGGCCUUCUGGGCUGGCCCUGACGCUGAGGUGCGAAAGCUAGGGAGCGAAAC